CACGUAGGGCGCAAGCGUUGUCCGGAAUUAUUGGGCGUAAAGAGCUCGUAGGUGGCUUGUUACGUCCGCUGUGAAAUCCUAGGGCUUAACCCUGGGCUUGCAGUGGAUACGGGCAGACUAGAGGUAGGUAGGGGAGAAUGGAAUUCCUGGUGUAGCGGUGAAAUUCGUAGAUAUCAGGAGGAACACCAGUGGCGAAGGCGGCUUUCUGGACGGUAACUGACGCUGAGACGCGAAAGCGUGGGGAGCAAACAGG
Molecule: ribosomal RNA, 253 nt
Filed under: uncultured bacterium
Lineage: Bacteria
Description: partial 16S ribosomal RNA
Rfam family: Bacterial small subunit ribosomal RNA
Source: RNAcentral